This 301-nucleotide ribosomal RNA is filed under the name uncultured bacterium. RNAcentral describes it as "partial 16S ribosomal RNA". It matches the Rfam family "Bacterial small subunit ribosomal RNA", at positions 512 to 808 of the family's 1533-position model. The record is from RNAcentral.
CAGUCCCGCGGUAAUACGGAGGGUGCAAGCGUUAUCCGGAUUUAUUGGGUUUAAAGGGUCCGUAGGCGGAUCUGUAAGUCAGUGGUGAAAUCUCACAGCUUAACUGUGAAACUGCCAUUGAUACUGCAGGUCUUGAGUAAAUUUGAAGUGGCUGGAAUAAGUAGUGUAGCGGUGAAAUGCAUAGAUAUUACUUAGAACACCAAUUGCGAAGGCAGGUCACUAAGAUUUAACUGACGCUGAUGGACGAAAGCGUGGGGAGCGAACAGGAUUAGAUACCCGCGUAGUCCCUGUCUCUUAUACA